CAAGGAAUUUUCGUCAAUGGGCGCAAGCCUGAACGAGCAACGCCGCGUGGUGGAUGACGGCCUUCGGGUUGUAAACACCUUUUGGAGGGGACGAUAAUGACGGUACCCUCCCAACAAGCCCCGGCUAACUCUGUGCCAGCAGCCGCGGUAGGACAGAGGGGGCAAGCGUUGUCCGGAAUUACUGGGCGUACAGGGCACGCAGGUGGCCGUACAGGUGGCGUGUGAAAGCCCCGCGCUUAACGCGGGGAGUGCAGGCCAAACGGUACGGCUCGAGCGAUGCAGAGGGUGGGGGAAUUGCCGGUGUAGUGGUGAAAUGCGUAGAGAUCGGCAGGAACACCAAAGACGAAGGUACCCACCUGGGCAUCAGCUGACACUCAGGUGCGACAGCGUGGGGAGCGAACCGGAUUAGAUACCCGGGUAGUCCACGCCGUAAACGAUGGAUGCUCGGCGUCUGGGGGGGUAAGGCUCCCUGGGCGCCCAAGCUGACGCGCAAGCAUCCCGCCUGGGAACUACGAGCGCAAGCUUAC
Molecule: ribosomal RNA, 527 nt
Filed under: uncultured bacterium
Lineage: Bacteria
Description: bacterial SSU rRNA
Rfam family: Bacterial small subunit ribosomal RNA
Source: RNAcentral